This 784-nucleotide ribosomal RNA is filed under the name uncultured Neocallimastigales. RNAcentral describes it as "partial large subunit ribosomal RNA". It matches the Rfam family "Eukaryotic large subunit ribosomal RNA", at positions 24 to 644 of the family's 3401-position model. The record is from RNAcentral. Lineage: Eukaryota; Fungi; Neocallimastigomycota; Neocallimastigomycetes; Neocallimastigales.
UAUCUCUGUAGAGUCUGCAUAUCAAUAAGCGGAGGAAAAGAAACUAACAAGGAUUCCCUUAGUAACGGCGAGUGAAGCGGGAAGAGCUCAAAUUUGAAAUCUUCGAGGUUCUACCUUGACGAAUUGUAGUUUAAAGAAGUGUUUUCUGUUAGAUGAGUAGGCAAAAGUUCCUUGGAAUAGGGACAUCAUAGAGGGUGAGAAUCCCGUAUUUGGUUAUUCAUUCUAGCUGUGUGAUACACUUUCAAAGAGUCGGAUUGUUUGGGAAUGCAGUCCAAAAUGGGUGGUAAAUUUCAUCUAAAGCUAAAUAUUGGCGAGAGACCGAUAGCGAACAAGUACCGUGAGGGAAAGAUGAAAAGAACUUUGAAAAGAGAGUUAAACAGUACGUGAAAUUGUCAAAAGGGAAGCGUUUGACACCAGUGUUGUUUUUCUCGAAAAUCAAUUAACGAAUGGCUUGAUUUUGUGUUGUAUUGACCUUAUCAAGCUUUCUUCACUUUUUUCGAGUCUUUCUUAAUGCACUUUUCGUUUAACAAGUCAACAUCAGUUUCUUUUGUUGUAAAAAGAGUAUUCGGAAGGUGGCUUUCUUUUCGGAGAAAGUGUUUAUAGCCCUAUGACUUCCUGACAAUCGGAGAGAUUGAGGUCUGCAGCGUAGAUCCUUCGGGGUUAGAUACAUUUGUGCUAAGUUGUAGCUUUUCAUAGACAACUUGUUGACUAUGUUUAGUCAUGCGGCUUACUCGCUUAGUGCUAUUUUACCUACGCUUAGGAUGUUGACUGAUAUGUAGUCGUA